GAUGAACGCUGGCGGCGUGCCUAAUACAUGCAAGUCGAGCGAACAGAUGAGGAGCUUGCUCCUCUGACGUUAGCGGCGGACGGGUGAGUAACACGUGGAUAACCUACCUAUAAGACUGGGAUAACUUCGGGAAACCGGAGCUAAUACCGGAUAAUAUAUUGAACCGCAUGGUUCAAUAGUGAAAGACGGUUUUGCUGUCACUUAUAGAUGGAUCCGCGCCGCAUUAGCUAGUUGGUAAGGUAACGGCUUACCAAGGCAACGAUGCGUAGCCGACCUGAGAGGGUGAUAGGCAACACUGGAACUGAGACACGGUCCAGACUCCUACGGGAGGCAGCAGUAGGGAAUCUUCCGCAAUGGGCGAAAGCCUGACGGAGCAACGCCGCGUGAGUGAUGAAGGUCUUCGGAUCGUAAAACUCUGUUAUUAGGGAAGAACAAAUGUGUAAGUAACUAUGCACGUCUUGACGGUACCUAAUCAGAAAGCCACGGCUAACUACGUG
RNAcentral lists this ribosomal RNA (497 nucleotides) under uncultured bacterium. RNAcentral's name for it is "partial 16S ribosomal RNA". It matches the Rfam family "Bacterial small subunit ribosomal RNA", at positions 28 to 507 of the family's 1533-position model. The record is from RNAcentral.